UCCCGAGUGGCUCAGUUGGUAAAGAAUCUGCCUGCAAUGCAGAAUACCAGGGUUCAAUCCCUGGGUCAGGAA
Molecule: transfer RNA, 72 nt
Organism: Ovis aries (sheep)
Lineage: Eukaryota; Metazoa; Chordata; Mammalia; Artiodactyla; Bovidae
Rfam family: tRNA
About the family: Transfer RNA (tRNA) molecules are approximately 80 nucleotides in length.
Source: Rfam